Molecule: long non-coding RNA, 295 nt
Organism: Stylophora pistillata
Lineage: Eukaryota; Metazoa; Cnidaria; Anthozoa; Scleractinia; Pocilloporidae
Source: RefSeq, a predicted model, not a curated record
ACUUACAGGACAAUGAGAUAGCAGAGCUACCAGCUGGACUCUUCAGUAACAACAGGAAGUUGACUGAACUGCACUUAAAUGAAAACAAAAUCAAGAAGCUGCCAGCUGGAGUUUUCAGUAGCUACUCCGAGUUGACUAGACUAUUUUUAUACAAAAACAACAUCAAGAGGCUGCAUGGUGACUCAUUUGCUACAUUGGUCAGACUACAGAGGCUGCACUUACAGGACAAUGAGAUAGCAGAGUUACCAGCUGGAGUCUUCAAUAACAACAGGAGGUUGACUGAACUGUAAGUAAA